This 497-nucleotide ribosomal RNA is filed under the name uncultured bacterium. RNAcentral describes it as "partial 16S ribosomal RNA". It matches the Rfam family "Bacterial small subunit ribosomal RNA", at positions 28 to 507 of the family's 1533-position model. The record is from RNAcentral.
GAUGAACGCUGGCGGCGUGCCUAAUACAUGCAAGUCGAGCGAACGGACGAGAAGCUUGCUUUUCUGAUGUUAGCGGCGGACGGGUGAGUAACACGUGGAUAACCUACCUAUAAGACUGGGAUAACUUCGGGAAACCGGAGCUAAUACCGGAUAAUAUUUUGAACCGCAUGGUUCAAAAGUGAAAGACGGUCUUGCUGUCACUUAUAGAUGGAUCCGCGCUGCAUUAGCUAGUUGGUAAGGUAACGGCUUACCAAGGCAACGAUGCAUAGCCGACCUGAGAGGGUGAUCGGCCACACGGGAACUGAGAAACGGUCCAGACUCCUACGGGAGGCAGCAGUAGGGAAUCUUCCGCAAUGGGCGAAAGCCUGACGGAGCAACGCCGCGUGAGUGAUGAAGGUCUUCGGAUCGUAAAACUCUGUUAUUAGGGAAGAACAUAUGUGUAAGUAACUGUGCACAUCUUGACGGUACCUAAUCAGAAAGCCACGGCUAACUACGUG